AAAUUGAAGAGUUUGAUCAUGGCUCAGAUUGAACGCUGGCGGCAGGCCUAACACAUGCAAGUCGAACGGUAACAGGAAGCAGCUUGCUGCUUUGCUGACGAGUGGCGGACGGGUGAGUAAUGUCUGGGAAACUGCCUGAUGGAGGGGGAUAACUACUGGAAACGGUGGCUAAUACCGCAUAACGUCGCAAGACCAAAGAGGGGGACCUUCGGGCCUCUUGCCAUCAGAUGUGCCCAGAUGGGAUUAGCUUGUUGGUGAGGUAACGGCUCACCAAGGCGACGAUCCCUAGCUGGUCUGAGAGGAUGACCAGCCACACUGGAACUGAGACACGGUCCAGACUCCUACGGGAGGCAGCAGUGGGGAAUAUUGCACAAUGGGCGCAAGCCUGAUGCAGCCAUGCCGCGUGUAUGAAGAAGGCCUUCGGGUUGUAAAGUACUUUCAGCGGGGAGGAAGGUGUUGCGGUUAAUAACCGCAGCAAUUGACGUUACCCGCAGAAGAAGCACCGGCUAACUCCGUGCCAGCAGCCGCGGUAAUACGGAGGGUGCAAGCGUUAAUCGGAAUUACUGGGCGUAAAGCGCACGCAGGCGGUCUGUCAAGUCGGAUGUGAAAUCCCCGGGCUCAACCUGGGAACUGCAUUCGAAACUGGCAGGCUUGAGUCUUGUAGAGGGGGGUAGAAUUCCAGGUGUAGCGGUGAAAUGCGUAGAGAUCUGGAGGAAUACCGGUGGCGAAGGCGGCCCCCUGGACAAAGACUGACGCUCAGGUGCGAAAGCGUGGGGAGCAAACAGGAUUAGAUACCCUGGUAGUCCACGCCGUAAACGAUGUCUACUUGGAGGUUGUGCCCUUGAGGCGUGGCUUCCGGAGCUAACGCGUUAAGUAGACCGCCUGGGGAGUACGGCCGCAAGGUUAAAACUCAAAUGAAUUGACGGGGGCCCGCACAAGCGGUGGAGCAUGUGGUUUAAUUCGAUGCAACGCGAAGAACCUUACCUGGUCUUGACAUCCACGGAAGUUUUCAGAGAUGAGAAUGUGCCUUCGGGAACCGUGAGACA
RNAcentral lists this ribosomal RNA (1046 nucleotides) under Salmonella enterica subsp. enterica. Its description in RNAcentral is "bacterial SSU rRNA". It matches the Rfam family "Bacterial small subunit ribosomal RNA", at positions 1 to 1036 of the family's 1533-position model. The record is from RNAcentral. Lineage: Bacteria; Pseudomonadati; Pseudomonadota; Gammaproteobacteria; Enterobacterales; Enterobacteriaceae. RNAcentral also lists the same sequence under 1 other name.